Molecule: ribosomal RNA, 301 nt
Filed under: uncultured bacterium
Lineage: Bacteria
Description: partial 16S ribosomal RNA
Rfam family: Bacterial small subunit ribosomal RNA
Source: RNAcentral
CAGCAGCCACGGUAAAACGAAGGGGGCUAGCGUUGUUCGGAUUUACUGGGCGUAAAGCGCACGUAGGCGGAUCCUUAAGUCAGAGGUGAAAUCCCGGGCUCAACCUGGGGGCUGCGUUUGAUACUUGGUUGCUUGAGUGGGGAAGAGGGUCGUGGAAUUCCCGGUGUAGCGGUGAAAUGCGUAGAUAUCGGAAGGAACACCUGUGGCGAAAGCGGCUCAUUGGACCAUUUCUGACGCUGAUGCACGAAAGCUAGGGGAGCAAACAGGAUUAGAUACCCCAGUAGUCCCUGUCUCUUAUACA